RNAcentral lists this ribosomal RNA (250 nucleotides) under uncultured bacterium. Its description in RNAcentral is "partial 16S ribosomal RNA". It matches the Rfam family "Bacterial small subunit ribosomal RNA", at positions 524 to 773 of the family's 1533-position model. The record is from RNAcentral.
UACGAAGGGGGCUAGCGUUGCUCGGAAUCACUGGGCGUAAAGCGCACGUAGGCGGGUCGUUAAGUCGGGGGUGAAAGCCCGGAGCUCAACUCCGGAACUGCCCUCGAUACUGGCGAUCUUGAGUUCGGGAGAGGUGAGUGGAACUGCGAGUGUAGAGGUGAAAUUCGUAGAUAUUCGCAAGAACACCAGUGGCGAAGGCGGCUCACUGGCCCGAUACUGACGCUGAGGUGCGAAAGCGUGGGGAGCAAAC